Molecule: ribosomal RNA, 1056 nt
Filed under: Floropilus chiversii
Lineage: Eukaryota; Fungi; Ascomycota; Sordariomycetes; Sordariales; Chaetomiaceae
Description: partial 28S large subunit ribosomal RNA
Rfam family: Eukaryotic large subunit ribosomal RNA
Source: RNAcentral
CGGAGAAAGAACAACAGGAUUGCCCUAGUAACGGCGAGUGAAGCGGCAACAGCUCAAAUUUGAAAUCUGGCCUCGGCCCGAGUUGUAAUUUGCAGAGGAAGCUUUAGGCGCGGCACCACCUGAGUCCCCUGGAACGGGGCGCCACAGAGGGUGAGAGCCCCGUAUAGUUGGACGCCUAGCCUGUGUAAAGCUCCUUCGACGAGUCGAGUAGUUUGGGAAUGCUGCUCAAAAUGGGAGGUAAAUUUCUUCUAAAGCUAAAUACCGGCCAGAGACCGAUAGCGCACAAGUAGAGUGAUCGAAAGAUGAAAAGCACUUUGAAAAGAGGGUUAAAUAGCACGUGAAAUUGUUGAAAGGGAAGCGCUUGUGACCAGACUUGCGCCGGGCUGAUCAUCCGGUGUUCUCACCGGUGCACUCUGCCCGGCUCAGGCCAGCAUCGGUUCUCGCGGGGGGAUAAAGGCACCGGGAACGUAGCUCCUCCGGGAGUGUUAUAGCCCGGGGCGUAAUGCCCUCGCGGGGACCGAGGACCGCGCUCUGCAAGGAUGCUGGCGUAAUGGUCACCAGCGACCCGUCUUGAAACACGGACCAAGGAGUCAAGGUUUUGCGCGAGUGUUUGGGUGUAAAACCCGCACGCGUAAUGAAAGUGAACGUAGGUGAGAGCUUCGGCGCAUCAUCGACCGAUCCUGAUGUAUUCGGAUGGAUUUGAGUAGGAGCGUUAAGCCUUGGACCCGAAAGAUGGUGAACUAUGCUUGGAUAGGGUGAAGCCAGAGGAAACUCUGGUGGAGGCUCGCAGCGGUUCUGACGUGCAAAUCGAUCGUCAAAUCUGAGCAUGGGGGCGAAAGACUAAUCGAACCAUCUAGUAGCUGGUUACCGCCGAAGUUUCCCUCAGGAUAGCAGUGUUGUCUUCAGUUUUAUGAGGUAAAGCGAAUGAUUAGGGACUCGGGGGCGAUUUUUAGCCUUCAUCCAUUCUCAAACUUUAAAUAUGUAAGAAGCCCUUGUUACUUAGCUGAACGUGGGCAUUCGAAUGUACCAACACUAGUGGGCCAUUUUUGGUAAGCA